CAGCCGCCGCGGGAAUACGUAGGUGGCAAGCGUUGUCCGGAAUUAUUGGGCGUAAAGGGCUCGCAGGCGGUUUCUUAAGUCUGAUGUGAAAGCCCCCGGCUCAACCGGGGAGGGUCAUUGGAAACUGGGAAACUUGAGUGCAGAAGAGGAGAGUGGAAUUCCACGUGUAGCGGUGAAAUGCGUUGAGAUGUGGAGGAACACCAGUGGCGAAGGCGACUCUCUGGUCUGUAACUGACGCUGAGGAGCGAAAGCGUGGGGAGCGAACAGGAUUAGAUACCCCAGUAGUCCCUGUCUCUUAUAC
Molecule: ribosomal RNA, 301 nt
Filed under: uncultured bacterium
Lineage: Bacteria
Description: partial 16S ribosomal RNA
Rfam family: Bacterial small subunit ribosomal RNA
Source: RNAcentral